Molecule: long non-coding RNA, 224 nt
Organism: Girardinichthys multiradiatus
Lineage: Eukaryota; Metazoa; Chordata; Actinopteri; Cyprinodontiformes; Goodeidae
Exons: 3
Source: RefSeq, a predicted model, not a curated record
AUAAAAGCAUCCAGUACUCACAGAUGGAAGCACAGAAGUUAUAGCAGCUGUACAGUCUGUUGGCCAGUGAGCAUCAAACACAGCUGGAAUCUGCACAGCCAUGAGCGAGAGAAAAACACCUGGAGGAAUGACUGGAAAAACACCUGGAGGAAUGACUGGAAACACCAAACCAUCUGCUGGCCAAGCAAUGCAAGGUCAGCAAAAGGCUCCAUCUAAACGUAAGU